GAGGAUACAGCUCAGCAGCACAGCACCUGCCUGACAAGCACAAGGUCCUGAGUUUGAUCCCCAGUAUCCCCA
Molecule: transfer RNA, 72 nt
Filed under: Cavia porcellus (domestic guinea pig)
Lineage: Eukaryota; Metazoa; Chordata; Mammalia; Rodentia; Caviidae
Rfam family: tRNA
About the family: Transfer RNA (tRNA) molecules are approximately 80 nucleotides in length. Their secondary structure includes four short double-helical elements and three loops (D, anti-codon, and T loops). Further hydrogen bonds mediate the characteristic L-shaped molecular structure. tRNAs have two regions of fundamental functional importance: the anti-codon, which is responsible for specific mRNA codon recognition, and the 3' end, to which the tRNAs corresponding amino acid is attached (by aminoacyl-tRNA synthetases). tRNAs cope with the degeneracy of the genetic code in two manners: having more than one tRNA (with a specific anti-codon) for a particular amino acid; and 'wobble' base-pairing, i.e. permitting non-standard base-pairing at the 3rd anti-codon position.
Source: Rfam by way of RNAcentral